AAGAAAAGAAAACCACAUAUGAUGUAAAAUACAAACCUCAAAGAAAUUAUUCACUCCCUCCGGAUAAUUUAAUAACACAUUGAAAAAAAAAAUUAAAAGUAGAAAUAGAUGAAAGAGGGUCCACAAAAGGCGAAACAUGCUCAGAUGUAGAUCAAGCUUGAAGCCUAAGCCGAGGCGAUGAAGAGCAAGAAGAAGAGGCAGACCACUGAAAAUGACAGCUUCGUGGAGUUCCCUGCUGAUGUGCUAUCGUCUGUUGUUGGAACAUUACUCUUUGAACCACCACCACCUGUACCAACAUGAACGUAUUAUUAGUCUAAUUACUUAAUGCUAAUUGUUCUAUAGGAUACCAAGUUAAUUAAAAUAACAAUUAGCUCUUGUAAAUUGUACCUGAUGAUGGAGAAUUUGAUGUUCCUGAUGGAGA
RNAcentral lists this long non-coding RNA (421 nucleotides) under Gossypium barbadense (sea-island cotton). RNAcentral describes it as "long non-coding RNA (GBAR_LNC020625)". The record is from RNAcentral. Lineage: Eukaryota; Viridiplantae; Streptophyta; Magnoliopsida; Malvales; Malvaceae.